GGGUUGUGAGGUUAAGCGACUAAGCGUACACGGUGGAUGCCCUGGCAGUCAGAGGCGAUGAAGGGCGUGCUAAUCUGCGAUAAGCGCCGGUAAGGUGAUAUGAACCGUUAUAACCGGCGAUACCCGAAUGGGGAAACCCAGUGUGACUCGUCACACUAUCAUUAACUGAAUCCAUAGGUUAAUGAGGCGAACCGGGGGAACUGAAACAUCUAAGUACCCCGAGGAAAAGAAAUCAACCGAGAUUCCCCCAGUAGCGGCGAGCGAACGGGGAGGAGCCCAGAGCCUGAAUCAGCAUGUGUGUUAGUGGAAGCGUCUGGAAAGGCGCGCGAUACAGGGUGACAGCCCCGUACACAAAAGCGCAUGUGCUGUGAGCUCGAUGAGUAGGGCGGGACACGUGGUAUCCUGUCUGAAUAUGGGGGGACCAUCCUCCAAGGCUAAAUACUCCUGACUGACCGAUAGUGAACCAGUACCGUGAGGGAAAGGCGAAAAGAACCCCGGCGAGGGGAGUGAAAAAGAACCUGAAACCGUGUACGUACAAGCAGUGGGAGCACAGGUUUACCUGUGUGACUGCGUACCUUUUGUAUAAUGGGUCAGCGACUUAUAUUCUGUAGCAAGGUUAACCGUAUAGGGGAGCCGUAGGGAAACCGAGUCUUAACCGGGCGUUAAGUUGCAGGGUAUAGACCCGAAACCCGGUGAUCUAGCCAUGGGCAGGUUGAAGGUUGGGUAACACUAACUGGAGGACCGAACCGACUAAUGUUGAAAAAUUAGCGGAUGACCUGUGGCUGGGGGUGAAAGGCCAAUCAAACCGGGAGAUAGCUGGUUCUCCCCGAAAGCUAUUUAGGUAGCGCCUCGUGAAUUCAUCUCCGGGGGUAGAGCACUGUUUCGGCUAGGGGGCCAUCCCGGCUUACCAACCCGAUGCAAACUGCGAAUACCGGAGAAUGUUAUCACGGGAGACACACGGCGGGUGCUAACGUCCGUCGUGAAGAGGGAAACAACCCAGACCGCCAGCUAAGGUCCCAAAGUCAUGGUUAAGUGGGAAACGAUGUGGGAAGGCCCAGACAGCCAGGAUGUUGGCUUAGAAGCAGCCAUCAUUUAAAGAAAGCGUAAUAGCUCACUGGUCGAGUCGGCCUGCGCGGAAGAUGUAACGGGGCUAAACCAUGCACCGAAGCUGCGGCAGCGACGCUGAUGCGUUGUUGGGUAGGGGAGCGUUCUGUAAGCCUGCGAAGGUGGCCUGUGAGGGUUGCUGGAGGUAUCAGAAGUGCGAAUGCUGACAUAAGUAACGAUAAAGCGGGUGAAAAGCCCGCUCGCCGGAAGACCAAGGGUUCCUGUCCAACGUUAAUCGGGGCAGGGUGAGUCGACCCCUAAGGCGAGGCCGAAAGGCGUAGUCGAUGGGAAACGGGUUAAUAUUCCCGUACUUGGUGUUACUGCGAAGGGGGGACGGAGAAGGCUAUGUUGGCCGGGCGACGGUUGUCCCGGUUUAAGCGUGUAGGUGUGUGCUCCAGGUAAAUCCGGUUCACUUUAACACUGAGGCGUGACGACGAGGCACUACGGUGCUGAAGCAACAAAUGCCCUGCUUCCAGGAAAAGCCUCUAAGCAUCAGGUAACAC
RNAcentral lists this ribosomal RNA (1607 nucleotides) under Salmonella enterica subsp. enterica serovar Hartford. Its description in RNAcentral is "partial 23S ribosomal RNA". It matches the Rfam family "Bacterial large subunit ribosomal RNA", at positions 1 to 1637 of the family's 2925-position model. The record is from RNAcentral. Lineage: Bacteria; Pseudomonadati; Pseudomonadota; Gammaproteobacteria; Enterobacterales; Enterobacteriaceae.